UGCUGGGAUAGAUCUGUCGGUAGAGCAUGAGUCUCUUAAUCUCAGGGUCUUGGGUUCGAGACCCAUGUCAGGCAA
Molecule: non-coding RNA, 75 nt
Organism: Podarcis lilfordi (Lilford's wall lizard)
Lineage: Eukaryota; Metazoa; Chordata; Lepidosauria; Squamata; Lacertidae
Source: the annotation of a GenBank genome assembly